RNAcentral lists this ribosomal RNA (78 nucleotides) under Lactobacillus iners. Its description in RNAcentral is "partial 16S ribosomal RNA". It matches the Rfam family "Bacterial small subunit ribosomal RNA", at positions 1459 to 1533 of the family's 1533-position model. Lineage: Bacteria; Bacillati; Bacillota; Bacilli; Lactobacillales; Lactobacillaceae. The record is from RNAcentral.
AAGGCGGGACAGAUGAUUAGGGUGAAGUCGUAACAAGGUAGCCGUAGGAGAACCUGCGGCUGGAUCACCUCCUUUCUA